RNAcentral lists this ribosomal RNA (424 nucleotides) under uncultured prokaryote. Its description in RNAcentral is "bacterial SSU rRNA". It matches the Rfam family "Bacterial small subunit ribosomal RNA", at positions 355 to 796 of the family's 1533-position model. The record is from RNAcentral.
UGGGGAAUAUUGGACAAUGGGCGCAAGCCUGAUCCAGCCAUGCCGCGUGAGUGAUGAAGGCCUUAGGGUUGUAAAGCUCUUUCACCGGUGAAGAUAAUGACGGUAGCCGGAGAAGAAGCCCCGGCUAACUCCGUGCCAGCAGCCGCGGUAAUACGGAGGGGGCUAGCGUUGUUCGGAAUUACUGGGCGUAAAGCGCGCGUAGGCGGUUUGGCAAGUUAGGCGUGAAAGCCCGGGGCUUAACUCCGGAAUUGCGCUUAAAACUGCCAGGCUAGAGUCCGAGAGAGGUGAGUGGAAUUCCCAGUGUAGAGGUGAAAUUCGUAGAUAUUGGGAAGAACACCAGUGGCGAAGGCGGCUCACUGGCUCGGUACUGACGCUGAGGUGCGAAAGCGUGGGGAGCAAACAGGAUUAGAUACCCCCGUAGUCC